RNAcentral lists this ribosomal RNA (154 nucleotides) under uncultured Pyronemataceae. RNAcentral describes it as "5.8S ribosomal RNA". It matches the Rfam family "5.8S ribosomal RNA". From Rfam's summary of the family: 5.8S ribosomal RNA (5.8S rRNA) is a component of the large subunit of the eukaryotic ribosome. Lineage: Eukaryota; Fungi; Ascomycota; Pezizomycetes; Pezizales; Pyronemataceae. The record is from RNAcentral.
AACUUUCAACAACGGAUCUCUUGGUUCUCGCAUCGAUGAAGAACGCAGCGAAAUGCGAUAAGUAGUGUGAAUUGCAGAAUUCAGUGAAUCAUCGAAUCUUUGAACGCACAUUGCGCCUUCCGGUAUUCCGGAAGGCAUGCCUGUCCGAGCGUCA